This is a long non-coding RNA of Tigriopus californicus, 1455 nucleotides long. RefSeq lists it as uncharacterized. NCBI's taxonomy places the organism in Eukaryota, Metazoa, Arthropoda, Copepoda, Harpacticoida, Harpacticidae. The record is from RefSeq and is a predicted model, not a curated record. The transcript has 2 exons.
UGAUGACAACCAAUUCAUGCACAUAAAAGGCAUGUACUUGGCCGUAGAAAUAUAUCUUAAUGGCAAACAAAUCAUUGAGAGCCUUGUGCUGUGUACAUAAGAAACAAAGAGCAUGGAAUUGAAAUAUCAGCAAAUUAUUGAAAUACUUAAUUGAUUGAGGAUCUGUCAAAAAGGGCAAAGUUAGUCAUUCAAAGCCUUUUCGAGUGACUCACGGAAUGAUUAUGUCCCAGCCACGUCGUGGUUUCAUAGCAUUGAAGAAGAAAGCCAUCAAUAAUUGUUUCUUAUACGUAGUAUUUUCGCAGCCCUUUUUGGGGUGGUCUAAUUAUUUGUCUGGUGAUCUACAUUCAUCCAUUGUCAUUGAAUGUAAAGCCGGUCUCAGCAUCACAAAUACUACCGAAAUAAGGUACAACAAAUCUGUGAUUGCAUAACAUCAUCAGGAGUGUUUGAUUUGGACCGUCGUUUCAACGACCAAUGAUAACCAACGGGACACUGACGUUUUAAAAGCGUGCGAAACAACUUUCUUUCCUCGCAAAAGCUUUCGAUCACAUGAUGCUCAAGAAUGAGCUCUGUUGCAGUUCUAUAAAUGAGAAGGCAUUGAAGAGAAUGGCAUCAGUUUCAAGAAACAUUCUCACCUCAACCAUGAAAGCCUUUGCAGCUACCGCCCUCUUGGCCGCCGUGGCCAAGCUCAGAAGCCUUAUUACUACAAAUGGAGCCCUGAAACGCCGUGGCUCCUACUUUCAAGUUCCCUGAAAACAUCCCAGUGCCCUUCCCCGAAACCAAUGAACCGGCGGGUAAUGCGGGUUACCAGUACCAAUACACCCCUGAGCAGCCCAACUCCCGCCCUUUCAAGGCCCCCGAGGACUACACCCCCGUGGAUUUCAAGUAUCAAUAUGUCAGCCAGCCUGGAGACAGUUUCAAAUACAAUUACAAGCCCGCUCCGGGGGAGUUUGACUUCACCUAUGUCCCUGGACCCAACAUGAUGAACUUGAGCCCCGAGAAAAUGAGGCCAAAUCGGCCGGUGUAGCUACCAGUGUGAGGGAUGUGGCUGCUCUGUUGUCCACCGUGAAUUCAGACGACAUCAAAGCCAUCACGGGGGAAUUAGGCUUUGGCCAAGACUUUGACUUGAGCGUCGUGUCGGCAGGCAUCAACAAUUGGGGACAUCAUUGAGAAUGGUGGCAAAACUGGCGCCAAAAUUGCCAGUAACAUUGGACCUCAACCUCAAGUGCCCGUGCUUCCUGUGGCUCCCAUUCAACCCGUGGAUCCCCUCCCUGAGCCCAUUCCGGAGGCUGUUCCCGUGGGCACUUACAAUGCUGCCUAUCAAUCAGGAUAUUCUGUACCCUUGCAGGGAGCUUAUUACCCCGGCUACCCUCUGGCGGCUGCUCAGGCUCCCCUUGUCUACUAUGGAUACUAGAAAUUACGUUCAAACCAAAUAAACCAAUCCAAAGAACCAAGCAA